UGGGGCUCAGCCGGCUGCAGAGCGAGCCAGGCGGUGGGCGAGCCAGGCGGUGGGCCCCGCGGUCAGCGCCCGGGGAAGGCUGCCCCGGGGCUCCUUCCGGACGCAGAGGCCCUGUCAGAGGAGUUCAUAAGUUCCCCGCAGCUGUCGCUUCUCAGACGCAGGGGCUAACUUUGGAGCAGGGUUGAACUCCCGGCUGAGGGCGGCGCCAAACCUCCUUCGGAGCCGGCCGCGGCGGCGCGGGGCAGGAACGGGGACCAGAGACCCUCAGGAGGAGAGAGCUGACCUACUUGAGGAGCAGGAAACUGGCACUCCUCAGCCUGAGGCUUAUUUUAAUCUUCAGAGCCCUGUGAACCAGGAUGCACCAGAGGAUGACUCACAUAUUUGGUUUCUGCUACCCCUAAGCGAGGUCUGGAUUCAGUUCUGGGCUCCUGCCUUUGGCUUGGUCCUGCCCUGGCUGUUGUGGGCAUUAGGUAAGUGAACUAGUGGAUAGCAGAUCUCUCUCUGUCUUCCCCACUGUGUGUAUAUGUCUGCCCUUCUGCUUCUCAAUAACAAGGUUUAGACUCAGAAGAGAUUUUUCCGGCACAGGAGACCUGGCAGGAGAAAAAGUUAAGGAGGUGGGAGACAGGGGAUGGAGGCAGGGCUCAGGCCUGGCGCCAAGUGCCUUCUGUAGCCCACAGUUCCUCCCAAGGCCUCGGCACCUCAGCCAAGCUGCUGCAGCCCCUGACAUGACGAUAUAAUCACUGUGCUUCUCUCGCCUAGCGUUCUAACCCUUGUCUGAAAUCCACUCACCCUUUUCCCCUGUAGAAUCCCGAAGACAUGGACCCUGUCUCCCAUCCCUGCCCUAUCCUGUGCUCCAGGCAGUAGGCCCUGGCCCUGUAUAUUUUCUAGAAAGGCACACACCCACACUGUCCAUGGCAC
This is a long non-coding RNA of Ochotona princeps (American pika), 918 nucleotides long. RefSeq lists it as uncharacterized. The transcript is spliced from 3 exons. Lineage: Eukaryota; Metazoa; Chordata; Mammalia; Lagomorpha; Ochotonidae. The record is from RefSeq and is a predicted model, not a curated record.